Molecule: ribosomal RNA, 456 nt
Filed under: uncultured bacterium
Lineage: Bacteria
Description: bacterial SSU rRNA
Rfam family: Bacterial small subunit ribosomal RNA
Source: RNAcentral
CUGGCGGCACGCCUAACACAUGCAAGUCGAGCGGAGAUUGAGAGCUUGCUCUCAUGAUCAGCGGCGGACGGGUGAGUAACACGUGAGCAACCUGCCUUUCAGAGGGGGACAACAGUUGGAAACGACUGCUAAUACCGCAUAACAUUGCCGAACGGCAUCGUUUGGCAAUCAAAGGAGCAAUCCGCUGAAAGAUGGGCUCGCGUCUGAUUAGAUAGUUGGUGAGGUAACGGCUCACCAAGUCGACGAUCAGUAGCCGGACUGAGAGGUUGAUCGGCCACAUUGGGACUGAGACACGGCCCAGACUCCUACGGGAGGCAGCAGUGGGGGAUAUUGGACAAUGGGGGAAACCCUGAUCCAGCGAUGCCGCGUGAGGGAAGAAGGUUUUCGGAUUGUAAACCUCUGUGGACAGGGACGAUAAUGACGGUACCUGUUUAGAAAGCCACGGCUAACUACGUG